UACGUAGGGCGCAAGCGUUGUCCGGAAUUAUUGGGCGCAAAGAGCUCGUAGGCGGCCUGUUGCGUCCGCUGUGAAAUCCCGGGGCUCAACCCCGGGCCUGCAGUGGAUACGGGCUGGCUAGAGGCAGGCAGGGGAGAACGGAAUUCCUGGUGUAGCGGUGAAAUGCGCAGAUAUCAGGAGGAACACCGGUGGCGAAGGCGGUUCUCUGGGCCUGUACUGACGCUGAGGAGCGAAAGCGUGGGGAGCGAACAGG
RNAcentral lists this ribosomal RNA (253 nucleotides) under uncultured bacterium. RNAcentral's name for it is "partial 16S ribosomal RNA". It matches the Rfam family "Bacterial small subunit ribosomal RNA", at positions 524 to 776 of the family's 1533-position model. The record is from RNAcentral.